This is a long non-coding RNA of Mytilus californianus (California mussel), 1407 nucleotides long. RefSeq lists it as uncharacterized. The record is from RefSeq and is a predicted model, not a curated record. Lineage: Eukaryota; Metazoa; Mollusca; Bivalvia; Mytilida; Mytilidae. The transcript has 2 exons.
CUUAUGGUUAAAUUUCAUAGAGAUCCAUGAACUUAAACUAAAGUUAGAGUGCCAAAACCAAUGUGUCUUCGGACGACGACGACGACGCCAACGUCAUACCAAUAUACGACCACAAAAAUUUUUUGCGGUCGUAUAAAAACUGCAUUUUACCCCUAUGUUCUAUUUUUAACAAAGUCGGACAUGAUGGUUGGAAGGCGGGGUCAUCGGACACAUUUUUUAAACUAGAUACCCUAAUAAUGAUUAUGGCCAAGUAUGGUUAAAUUUGUCUCAGUAGUUUCAGAGAAGAAGAUUUUUGUAAAAGUUGACUAGUAAAGGCAAUAACUCCUAAAGGGGUCGACUGACAAUUUUGGUCAUGACAACUUAUUUGUAGAUCUUACUUUGCUGAACAUUAUUGCUGUUUACAGUUUAUCUCUAUAAUAAUAUUCAAGAUAAUAACCACAAGAGUGCACACGCUGAAAUGUCUCGCCUUCUUUACUAAUCAUUGAUAUUAUGUUGAUAGUCCUAAAUAUAAAGCUUCAUUACAACUGUCACAUAAACUUAACAUUAACCAAGUAAACUAAACAUUGACCAAUGAACCAUGAAAAUGAGGUCAAGGUCAGAUGAACCAUGCUAGGCAGGCAUGUACAGCUAACAAUUCUUCCAUACAACAAAUAGAGUUGACCUAUUGCUUAUAGUUUAAGAAAAACAGACCAAAACACAAAAACUUAACACUGAGCAAUGAACCUUGAAAAUGAGGUCAAGGUCAAUUAAAACCUGCGUGACUGCCAAAUAGAUCAUAAAAUAUUUCCAUACACCAAAUAUAGUUGAACUAUUGCAUAUAGUAUAAGAAAAACAGACCAAAACACAAAAACUUAACUAUAACCACUGAACCAUGAAAAUGAGGUCAAGGUCAGAUGACACCUACCAGCUAGACAUGUACACCUUACAAUCAUUCCAUACGCCAAAUAUAGUAGACCUAUUGCAUACAGUAUAAGAAAAACAGACCAAAACACAAAAACUUAACUAUAACCACUGAACCAUGAAAAUGAGGUCAAGGUCAGAUGACACCUGCCAGUUGGACAUGUACACCUUACAGUCCUUCCAUACACCGAAUAUACUAGACCUAUUGCUUAUAGUAUCUGAGAUAUGGACUUGACCACUAAAACUUAACCUUGUUCACUGAUCCAUGAAAUGAAGUCGAGGUCAAGUGAAAACUGUCUGACGUACAUGAGGACCUUGCAAGGUACGCACAUACCAAAUAUAGUUAUCCUACUACUUAUAAUAAGAGAGAAUUUAACAUUACAAAUAAAAUGCUCCGCUGGGGCGCAGCUUGAUACGACCGCAGAGGUCGAACCCUGAACAGUUGGGGCAAGUAUGGACACAACAUUCAAGCUUGAUACAGCACUGAAUUUGGAUUGUAAUUAAAUA